Molecule: small nuclear RNA, 319 nt
Filed under: Octodon degus (degu)
Lineage: Eukaryota; Metazoa; Chordata; Mammalia; Rodentia; Octodontidae
Description: 7SK RNA (ENSODEG00000024152.1)
Rfam family: 7SK RNA
About the family: 7SK was discovered as an abundant small nuclear RNA in the mid-70s but a possible function has only recently been suggested. Two independent studies have found that 7SK RNA binds the CDK9/cyclin T complex (known as elongation factor P-TEFb).
Source: Rfam by way of RNAcentral
GGAUGUGAGGGAGAUCUGGCUUUGACAUUUGUCAUGUCAUGGAUCACCAGCUUUGAUUUGGCUUAUUGGGCUGGCUAGACUAGUGUCCCCUUCCUCCCUCAAUGCUGCAUGUGUGUCUCUCCCAAAUCUGUGCUUCCUGUGGGAAAGGACUGUUCCUCCAUCAAGGGCAUAUGUGUAGCUGUGUUCCCUUGCUAGAACCUCGAAGGAAGCUCUCAGAAAGUGGCAAGAAUGAUGGGGUAAGUGUGUUCCAAGUGAGGGACAGUGUUUUGAUGGGAAUUAACAGCAAUGUCUUUUAUUGUAAGACAUUUUAAAAAUUUAG